AUGAACGCUGGCGGCGUGCCUAAUCCCUGCCAGUCGAGCGAACAGACGAGGAGCUUGCUCCUCUGACGUUAGCGGCGGACGGGUGAGUAACACGUGGAUAACCUACCUAUAAGACUGGGAUAACUUCGGGAAACCGGAGCUAAUACCGGAUAAUAUAUUGAACCGCAUGGUUCAAUAGUGAAAGACGGUUUUGCUGUCACUUAUAGAUGGAUCCGCGCCGCAUUAGCUAGUUGGUAAGGUAACGGCUUACCAAGGCAACGAUGCGUAGCCGACCUGAGAGGGUGAUCGGCCACACUGGAACUGAGACACGGUCCAGACUCCUACGGGAGGCAGCAGUAGGGAAUCUUCCGCAAUGGGCGAAAGCCUGACGGAGCAACGCCGCGUGAAUGAUGAAGGUCUUCGGAUCGUAAAACUCUGUUAUUAGGGAAGAACAAAUGUGUAAGUAACUAUGCACGUCUUGACGGUACCUAAUCAGAAAGCCACGGCUAACUACGUG
Molecule: ribosomal RNA, 496 nt
Filed under: uncultured bacterium
Lineage: Bacteria
Description: partial 16S ribosomal RNA
Rfam family: Bacterial small subunit ribosomal RNA
Source: RNAcentral